RNAcentral lists this ribosomal RNA (497 nucleotides) under uncultured bacterium. RNAcentral's name for it is "partial 16S ribosomal RNA". It matches the Rfam family "Bacterial small subunit ribosomal RNA", at positions 28 to 507 of the family's 1533-position model. The record is from RNAcentral.
GAUGAACGCUGGCGGCGUGCCUAAUACAUGCAAGUCGAGCGAACGGACGAGAAGCUUGCUUCUCUGAUGUUAGCGGCGGACGGGUGAGUAACACGUGGAUAACCUACCUAUAGGACUGGGAUAACUUCGGGAAACCGGAGCUAAUACCGGAUAAUAUUUUGAACCGCAUGGUUCAAAAGUGAAAGACGGUCUUGCUGUCACUUAUAGAUGGAUCCGCGCUGCAUUAGCUAGUUGGUAAGGUAACGGCUUACCAAGGCAACGAUGCAUAGCCGACCUGAGAGGGUGAGCGGCCACACUGGAACUGAGACACGGUCCAGACUCCUACGGGAGGCAGCAGUAGGGAAUCUUCCGCAAUGGGCGAAAGCCUGACGGAGCAACGCCGCGUGAGUGAUGAAGGUCUUCGGAUCGUAAAACUCUGUUAUUAGGGAAGAACAUAUGUGUAAGUAACUGUGCACAUCUUGACGGUACCUAAUCAGAAAGCCACGGCUAACUACGUG